Molecule: ribosomal RNA, 1721 nt
Filed under: Campylobacter jejuni
Lineage: Bacteria; Pseudomonadati; Campylobacterota; Epsilonproteobacteria; Campylobacterales; Campylobacteraceae
Description: partial 23S ribosomal RNA
Rfam family: Bacterial large subunit ribosomal RNA
Source: RNAcentral
AGGUAAGCUACUAAGAGCGAAUGGUGGAUGCCUUGACUGGUAAAGGCGAUGAAGGACGUACUAGACUGCGAUAAGCUACGGGGAGCUGUCAAGAAGCUUUGAUCCGUAGAUUUCCGAAUGGGGCAACCCAAUGUAUAGAGAUAUACAUUACCUAUAUAGGAGCGAACGAGGGGAAUUGAAACAUCUUAGUACCCUCAGGAAAAGAAAUCAAUAGAGAUUGCGUCAGUAGCGGCGAGCGAAAGCGCAAGAGGGCAAACCCAGUGCUUGCACUGGGGGUUGUAGGACUGUAAUGUGCAAGAGGUAAGUUUAGCAGAACAUUCUGGAAAGUAUAACCAUAGAGGGUGAUAGUCCCGUAUGCGAAAAACAAACCUUAGCUAGCAGUAUCCUGAGUAGGGCGGGACACGAGGAAUCCUGUCUGAAUCCGGGUCGACCACGAUCCAACCCUAAAUACUAAUACCAGAUCGAUAGUGCACAAGUACCGUGAGGGAAAGGUGAAAAGAACUGAGGUGAUCAGAGUGAAAUAGAACCUGAAACCAUUUGCUUACAAUCAUUCAGAGCCCUAUGUAGCAAUACAGGGUGAUGGACUGCCUUUUGCAUAAUGAGCCUGCGAGUUGUGGUGUCUGGCAAGGUUAAGCAAACGCGAAGCCGUAGCGAAAGCGAGUCUGAAUAGGGCGCUUAGUCAGAUGCUGCAGACCCGAAACGAAGUGAUCUAUCCAUGAGCAAGUUGAAGCUAGUGUAAGAACUAGUGGAGGACUGAACCCAUAGGCGUUGAAAAGCCCCGGGAUGACUUGUGGAUAGGGGUGAAAGGCCAAUCAAACUUCGUGAUAGCUGGUUCUCUCCGAAAUAUAUUUAGGUAUAGCGUUGUGUCGUAAUAUAAGGGGGUAGAGCACUGAAUGGGCUAGGGCAUACACCAAUGUACCAAACCCUAUCAAACUCCGAAUACCUUAUAUGUAAUCACAGCAGUCAGGCGGCGAGUGAUAAAAUCCGUCGUCAAGAGGGAAACAACCCAGACUACCAGCUAAGGUCCCUAAAUCUUACUUAAGUGGAAAACGAUGUGAAGUUACUUAAACAACCAGGAGGUUGGCUUAGAAGCAGCCAUCCUUUAAAGAAAGCGUAAUAGCUCACUGGUCUAGUGAUUUUGCGCGGAAAAUAUAACGGGGCUAAAGUAAGUACCGAAGCUGUAGACUUAGUUUACUAAGUGGUAGGAGAGCGUUCUAUUUGCGUCGAAGGUAUACCGGUAAGGAGUGCUGGAGCGAAUAGAAGUGAGCAUGCAGGCAUGAGUAGCGAUAAUUAAUGUGAGAAUCAUUAACGCCGUAAACCCAAGGUUUCCUACGCGAUGCUCGUCAUCGUAGGGUUAGUCGGGUCCUAAGUCGAGUCCGAAAGGGGUAGACGAUGGCAAAUUGGUUAAUAUUCCAAUACCAACAUUAGUGUGCGAUGGAAGGACGCUUAGGGCUAAGGGGGCUAGCGGAUGGAAGUGCUAGUCUAAGGUCGUAGGAGGUUAUACAGGCAAAUCCGUAUAACAAUACUCCGAGAACUGAAAGGCUUUUUGAAGUCUUCGGAUGGAUAGAAGAACCCCUGAUGCCGUCGAGCCAAGAAAAGUUUCUAAGUUUAGCUAAUGUUGCCCGUACCGUAAACCGACACAGGUGGGUGGGAUGAGUAUUCUAAGGCGCGUGGAAGAACUCUCUUUAAGGAACUCUGCAAAAUAGCACCGUAUCUUCGGU